CCCUGACCAGCAACAUAGCUCAGUCCAUAGAGCACGAGACUCUUAAUCUCAGGGUUGGGGGUUCAAGUCCCACAUCGGGCA
This is a non-coding RNA of Podarcis lilfordi (Lilford's wall lizard), 81 nucleotides long. NCBI's taxonomy places the organism in Eukaryota, Metazoa, Chordata, Lepidosauria, Squamata, Lacertidae. The record is from the annotation of a GenBank genome assembly.